Molecule: ribosomal RNA, 1401 nt
Filed under: uncultured bacterium
Lineage: Bacteria
Description: bacterial SSU rRNA
Rfam family: Bacterial small subunit ribosomal RNA
Source: RNAcentral
GACGAACGCUGGCGGCGCGUCUAAGACAUGCAAGUCGAACGGGGGUAGCAAUACCCUAGUGGCGAACGGGUGAGUAACACGUAGCUACCUGCCUUCCGGUGGGGGACAACAGUUCGAAAGGACUGCUAAUACCGCAUACGAUCUGCGGAUGAAAGCCUUCGGGCGCCGGAAGAGGGGGCUGCGGCCUAUUAGCUUGUUGGUGAGGUAACGGCUCACCAAGGCGAUGAUGGGUAGCUGAUCUGAGAGGAUGAUCAGCCACACUGGGACUGAGAUACGGCCCAGACUCCUACGGGAGGCAGCAGUUAAGAAUCUUGCGCAAUGGGCGAAAGCCUGACGCAGCGACGCCGCGUGGAGGAUGACGGCCUUCGGGUUGUAAACUCCUUUUCGGAGGGAAGAUAAUGACGGUACCUCCGGAAUAAGCCCCGGCUAAUUACGUGCCAGCAGCCGCGGUAAUACGUAAGGGGCAAGCGUUAUCCGGAAUUACUGGGCGUAAAGCGCGCGCAGGCGGCCAAGCAAGUCUGACGUGAAAGCUCCCGGCUUAACUGGGAGAGGUCGUUGGAAACUGUAUGGCUUGAGGCAGUGAGAGGGGUGCAGAAUUCCCGGUGUAGUGGUGGAAUGCGUAGAUAUCGGGAGGAAUACCAGUGGCGGAAGCGGCACCCUGGCACUGAACUGACGCUGAAGUGCGAAAGCGUGGGUAGCGAACGGGAUUAGAUACCCCGGUAGUCCACGCUGUAAACGAUGAGUACUAGGUGUAGGCGGUAUCGACCCCGUCUGUGCCGAAGCUAACGCGAUAAGUACUCCGCCUGGGGACUACGGCCGCAAGGUUAAAACUCAAAGGAAUUGACGGGGACCCGCACAAGCAGCGGAGCGUGUGGUUUAAUUCGAUGCAACGCGAAAAACCUUACCUGGGUUUGACAUGUACGUAGUAGUGAACCGAAAGGGGAACGACUCUUCGGAGAGCGUACACAGGUGCUGCAUGGCUGUCGUCAGCUCGUGUCGUGAGAUGUUGGGUUAAGUCCCGCAACGAGCGCAACCCGCGUCGUUAGUUACAAGUGUCUAGCGAGACUGCCGGUAUCAAGCCGGAGGAAGGUGCGGAUGACGUCAAGUCAGCAUGGCCUUUAUAUCCAGGGCUACACACACGCUACAAUGGGCGGUACAGAGGGAAGCUAAGGGGUGACCUGGAGCAAAUCCCAUCAAAGCCGUUCGUAGUUCGGAUUGUAGGCUGCAACCCGCCUGCAUGAAGCUGGAGUUGCUAGUAAACGCAGGUCAGCAUUACUGCGUUGAAUACGUUCCCGGGUCUUGUACACACCGCCCGUCACGUCAUGGGAGUUGAUAACACCUGAAGUCGGUGACCCAACCGCAAGGAGGGAGCUGCCUAGGGUGGGAUCGAUGACUGGGACG